Anaerococcus tetradius ATCC 35098 is the source of this 171-nucleotide non-coding RNA. NCBI's taxonomy places the organism in Bacteria, Bacillati, Bacillota, Tissierellia, Tissierellales, Peptoniphilaceae. The record is from Rfam.
UCCAUCGUGAGGUGGAAUCUGAAGGAAGCCCUAGGCAAACUCUUGGUCUGACGAACAGAAAUCACAUAAGGCAGUUACGUAGGAUAAGCUUGCCAAACAAAGUAAAGUCCAAUAACUACACGGAAUACGUAAAUGUAUAUGUGGCAGAUAGAUGAGAGGAAAGAACAUGCC